Molecule: long non-coding RNA, 440 nt
Organism: Talpa occidentalis (Iberian mole)
Lineage: Eukaryota; Metazoa; Chordata; Mammalia; Eulipotyphla; Talpidae
Exons: 4
Source: RefSeq, a predicted model, not a curated record
AAGUCGAAUAGUUUUCUGUAAAUGUGCUCUAAGUUUCUUCCCAACUUUCUGUGUCAAGGAUUUCAUGAUGGAGGUUGCUGGGAGAAUGUGAAGAAUCCCGAGAGACCCAUAGUCACAAGAAUGACAACAUACAGGUACGAUGCCACUGCGGCAGGUGCUGGGGGAGCUUGCUAACUCUGAGAAGUGACUGGAAUGUUCUACCACUGGAUAUCAGCUUGCCAGCAAAUGAGGCCAGCCAGUGGCUGUGUCAAGCUACAGAUUUACUGACAAAUCAGUAUCCCAGGAAUAAGACAGCCUUGCGCUUACAAAGCAUCCAGGCACUGAGAAAGAGCUGCAUUGGAAGGUAGCCAUUGCGCAGAAGGUGCUUGAGUUAGGAGACCUGCUUGGAGCCUCACUUCAGCCACAGGCUUGCCGUGUGGAAUUUGGCCAGGCGUUCACAC